This 253-nucleotide ribosomal RNA is filed under the name uncultured bacterium. Its description in RNAcentral is "partial 16S ribosomal RNA". It matches the Rfam family "Bacterial small subunit ribosomal RNA", at positions 524 to 776 of the family's 1533-position model. The record is from RNAcentral.
UACGUAGGGGGCAAGCGUUGUCCGGAUUUAUUGGGCGUAAAGAGCGUGUAGGCGGCCAUACAGGUCAGCUGUGAAAACUCGAGGCUCAACCUCGAGACGUCGGUUGAAACCGUAUGGCUAGAGUCCGGAAGAGGAGAGUGGAAUUCCCGGUGUAGCGGUGAAAUGCGCAGAUAUCGGGAAGAACACCCGUGGCGAAGGCGGCUCUCUGGGACGGUACUGACGCUGAGACGCGAAAGCGUGGGGAACGAACAGG